Molecule: long non-coding RNA, 17756 nt
Filed under: Zea mays
Lineage: Eukaryota; Viridiplantae; Streptophyta; Magnoliopsida; Poales; Poaceae
Description: long non-coding RNA (ZMAY_LNC005795)
Source: RNAcentral
UUUGACCAAGAAAUGGUCUCCACCAGAAAUCCAAGAAUGUGAUCUAUGGCAAGGAAACAUAUGUGGGGUGAGGUGUACGAGCCUCUGGUCGAUGAUAAAUGGCCACACAACCCCCAUUUUUGAUGAAAAUAGCCAUGAACGACCAUUUUCAAUAAUACGAAGGCUAACACCUACGGAUUUUUGACCAAGAAAUGGUCUCCACCAGAAAUCCAAGAAUGUGAUCUAUGGCAAGGAAACAUAUGUGGGGUGAGGUGUAUGAGCCUCUGGUCGAUGAUCAAUGGCCACACAACCCCCAUUUUUGUCGAAAAUAGCCAUGAACGACCAUUUUCAAUAAUACCGAAGGCUAACACCUACGGAUUUUUGACCAAGAAAUGGUCUCCACCAGAAAUCCAAGAAUGUGAUCUAUGGCAAGGAAACAUAUGUGGGGUGAGGUGUACGAGCCUCUGGUCGAUGAUCAAUGGCCACACAACCCCAUUUUUGUCGAAAAUAGCCAUGAACGACCAUUUUCAAUGAUACUGAAGGCUAACACCUACGGAUUUUUGACCAAGAAAUGGUCUCCACCAUAAAUCCAAGAAUGUGAUCUAUGGCAAGGAAACAUAUGUGUAGUGAGGUGUAUGAGCCUCUGGUCGAAUAUCAAUGGCCACACAACCCCCAUUUUUGUCGAAAAUAGCCAUGAACGACCAUUUUCAAUAGUACCGAAGGCUAACACAUUCGGAUUUUUGACCAAGAAAUGGUCUCCACCAGAAAUCAAAGAAUGUGAUCUAUGGCAAGGAAACAUAUGUGGGGUGAGGUGUACGAGCCUCUGGUCGAUGAUCAAUGGCCACACAACCCCCAUUUUUGUCGAAAAUAGCCAUGAACGACCAUUUUCAAUAAUACCGAAGGCUAACACGUACGGAUUUUUGACCAAGAAAUGGUCUCCACCAGAAAUCCAAGAAUGUGAUCUAUGGCAAGGAAACAUAUGUGGGGUGAGGUGUAUGAGCCUCUGGUCGAUGAUCAAUGGCCACACAACCCCCAUUUUGUCGAAAAUAGCCAUGAACGACCAUUUUCAAUAAUACCGAAGGCUAACACCACGGAUUUUUGACCAAGAAAUGGUCUCCACCAGAAAUCCAAGAAUGUGAUCUAUGGCAAGAAACAUAUGUGGGGUGAGGUGUACGAGCCUCUGGUCGAUGAUCAAUGGCCACACAACCCCAUUUUUGUCGAAAAUAGCCAUGAACGACCAUUUUCAAUGACACUGAAGGCUAACACCUACGGAUUUUUGACCAAGAAAUGGUCUCCACCAUAAAUCCAAGAAUGUGAUCUAUGGCAAGGAAACAUAUGUGUGUGAGGUGUAUGAGCCUCUGGUCGAAUGAUCAAUGGCCACACAACCCCCAUUUUUGUCGAAAAUAGCCAUGAACGACCAUUUUCAAUAUACCGAAGGCUAACACAUUCGGAUUUUUGACCAAGAAAUGGUCUCCACCAGAAAUCCAAGAAUGUGAUCUAUGGCAAGGAAACAUAUGUGGGGUGAGGUGUACGAGCCUCUGGUCGAUGAUCAAUGGCCACACAACCCCCAUUUUUGUCGAAAAUAGCCAUGAACGACCAUUUUCAAUAAUACCGAAGGCUAACACGUACGGAUUUUUGACCAAGAAAUGGUCUCCACCAGAAAUCCAAGAAUGUGAUCUAUGGCAAGGAAACAUAUGUGGGGUGAGGUGUACGAGCCUCUGGUCGAUGAUCAAUGGCCACACAACCCCCAUUUUUGUCGAAAAUAGCCAUGAACGACCAUUUUCAAUAAUACCGAAGGCUAACACUACGGAUUUUUGACCAAGAAAUGGUCUCCACCAGAAAUCCAAGAAUGUGAUCUAUGGCAAGGAAACAUAUGUGGGGUGAGGUGUACGAGCCUCUGGUCGAUGAUAAAUGGCCACACAACCCCCAUUUUUGUCGAAAAUAGCCAUGAACGACCAUUUUCAAUAAUACCGAAGGCUAACACCUACGGAUUUUUGACCAAGAAAUGGUCUCCACCAGAAAUCCAAGAAUGUGAUCUAUGGCAAGGAAACAUAUGUGGGGUGAGGUGUACGAGCCUCUGGUCGAUGAUCAAUGGCCACACAACCCCAUUUUUGUCGAAAAUAGCCAUGAACGACCAUUUUCAAUGACACUGAAGGCUAACACCUACGGAUUUUUGACCAAGAAAUGGUCUCCACCAUAAAUCCAAGAAUGUGAUCUAUGGCAAGGAAACAUAUGUGUAGUGAGGUGUAUGAGCCUCUGGUCGAAGAUCAAUGGCCACACAACCCCCAUUUUUGUCGAAAAUAGCCAUGAACGACCAUUUUCAAAAUACCGAAGGCUAACACAUUCGGAUUUUUGCCCAAGAAAUGGUCUCCACCAGAAAUCCAAGAAUGUGAUCUAUGGCAAGGAAACAUAUGUGGGGUGAGGUGUACGAGCCUCUGGUCGAUGAUCAAUGGCCACACAACCCCCAUUUUGCCGAAAAUAGCCAUGAACGACCAUUUUCAAUAAUACCGAAGGCUAACACGUACGAUUUUUGACCAAGAAAUGGUCUCCACCAGAAAUCCAAGAAUGUGAUCUAUGGCAAGGAAACAUAUGUGGGGUGAGGUUUAUGAGCCUCUGUCGAUGAUAAAUGGCCACACAACCCCCAUUUUUUAUGAAAAUAGCCAUGAAGCGACCAUUUUCAAUAAUACUGAAGGCUAACACCUACGAUUUUUGACCAAGAAAUGGUCUCCACCAGAAAUCCAAGAAUGUGAUCUAUGGCAAGGAAACAUAUGUGGGGUGAGGUGUAUGAGCCUCUGGUCGAUGAUCAAUGGCCACACAACCCCAUUUUGUCGAAAAUAGCCAUGAACGACCAUUUUCAAUAAUACCAAAGGCUAACACCUACGGAUUUUUGACCAAGAAAUGGUCUCCACCAGAAAUCCAAGAAUGUGAUCUAUGGCAAGGAAACAUAUGUGGGGUGAGGUGUAUGAGCCUCUGGUCGAUGAUCAAUGGCCACACAACCCUAAUUUUUGUCGAAAAUAGCCAUGAACGACCAUUUUCAAUGACACUGAAGGCUAACACCUACGGAUUUUUGACCAAGAAAUGGUCUCCACCAUAAAUCCAAGAAUGUGAUCUAUGGCAAGGAAACAUAUGUGUAGUGAGGUGUAUGAGCCUCUGGUCGAAGAUCAAUGGCCACACAACCCCCAUUUUUGUCGAAAAUAGCCAUGAAUGACCAUUUUCAAAAAUACCGAAGGCUAACACAUUCGGAUUUUUGACCAAGAAAUGGUCUCCACCAGAAAUCCAAGAAUGUGAUCUAUGGCAAGGAAACAUAUGUGGGGUGAGGUGUACGAGCCUCUGGUCGAUGAUCAAUGGCCACACAACCCCCAUUUUGUCCGAAAAUAGCCAUGAACGACCAUUUUCAAUAAUACGAAGGCUAACACGUACGAUUUUUGACCAAGAAAUGGUCUCCACCAGAAAUCCAAGAAUGUGAUCUAUGGCAAGGAAACAUAUGUGGGGUGAGGUUUAUGAGCCUCUAGUCGAUGAUAAAUGGCCACACAACCCCAUUUUUUAUGAAAAUAGCCAUGAGCGACCAUUUUCAAUAAUACUAGAGGCUAAGACCUACGGAUUUUUGACCAAGAAAUGGUCUCCACCAGAAAUCCAAGAAUGUGAUCUAUGGCAAGGAAACAUAUGUGGGGUGAGGUGUAUGAGCCUAUGGUCGAUGAUCAAUGGCCACACAACCCCCAUUUUUGUCGAAAAUAGCCAUGAACGACCAUUUUCAAAGACACUGAAGGCUAACACCUACGGAUUUUUGACCAAGAAAUGGUCUCCACCAUAAAUCCAAGAAUGUGAUCUAUGGCAAGGAAACAUAUGUGUAGUGAGGUGUAUGAGCCUCUGGUCGAAGAUCAAUGGCCACACAACCGCCAUUUUUGUCGAAAAUAGCCAUGAAUGACCAUUUUCAAAAAUAUAGCCAGUGAAGUACAAAAUAUGGCCGACAGAAGCAACGUGAAGACUAGACAGAGAACGUCCAUCAAAUGUCCAAUCAGCUGCAGAGCAAAUAAAUUACACCACCUAGCAAGAUAUGGAUGGAUCGCGAACUCGGCUGCAAAAGACAAAAUACAUGCUGACCUCUGAAGCACAAUAUUGAUGACAUAAUGCUGACCUCCAAAGUAUAAUGCGGAUGGCAUCAUGCCGACCUGUACAAACAGAAAGGAUAAUCUUCAGCAAAAAGACACAAAAGGAAGACCUUCGAACGGAUUAUCCUCAAAAAUCCACUCGAAGGUCGGGGGCUACACUCAUUGGGUGCACCUCCGGUGCACCCAAUUAAGCUCAGGGUCCUACAAAACGAAAUGCCGACCUCUAAGGCACGAGCACGAAGCGAAGGUUCGGUUUACGAGUGAUCAAAGCAGGAGGAGACAGUAAGAAGUCGUUUUCUUCAAAUCGCCUGCAAGUUGGACCUGGGAUCUUCGGGCUGAUUACCUCCAAAUUAACCCAAAGAUCGGGGGCUUGUGGGGGACAGAUAUCCCCCAGGUCCACUAAAAGAGAAAAAGACCUCACGAAAGGCCCAAGGGCCCAAUAAAUCGUAAGGUCAUUCUUUCAUGGGCCUGGGGAGGGACAACCAGCAAAGCAGAUCGACAUAAGGCUGGAUUGGUGCAAACCCAGACGACCCACAACGUCGGGCGAGCGACUGCAACAGAAGUCCGACUUUCUCGCGCUGGAGCCCCAUGCAACGGAGCCAUGCGAGGAUAAGUCGGCAGAACCACGAGGAGAUAAACUCAAACAGUUCACUAUCUUUUAGCUACACUUUGUUAUCAUAUCCAUAUGUAUUGCCCCACGGUCGAGUAUAUAAGGACUAGGGGGCACCCCUUCAGAACGAUCGACCCUACUACUUAGCCUUCCACUCCAACUCUCUGCAUUCUCAAUUCAGAGAGCUCUUUUGUAACCUCAUUCACCAAGCAUACUCACCAGGACGUAGGGUGUUACGCGUCUCUAAGCGGACCGAACCUGUAAACAUUGUCCACUGUCCCUCGUGCAUCUGGCACGAACCAUUUUGCUACAGUCGUCGACACCGUCCUACUCCUAAAAACACCUUAAGGGGCAACCCCGGGUGUGCGGUCGGACCCAAAACACCGACAAUGGUCUCCACCAGAAAUCCAAGAAUGUGAUCUAUGGCAAGGAAACAUAUGUGGGGUGAGGUGUACGAGCCUCUGGUCGAUGAUCAAUGGCCACACAACCCCCAUUUUUGUCGAAAAUAGCCAUGAACCACCAUUUUCAAUGACACUGAAGGCUAGCACCGAUGGAUUUUUGACCAAGAAAUGGUCUCCACCAGAAAUCCAAGAAUGUGAUCUAAGCUAGCUCAAUGGCCGUCACCUUCCACAGCAAGAUCACCCUCCGUCCCGGAUCCGUAUUCUGCUUCGGAACAAUCUCAUCCGUAGAAGAUGAAGAGGGAACUCUACACCGCAUUGUGGAUCCGCCGGAAAAGAAGUCUCCUCCAACCAACUCCGAAAAUGUCGGGGAAUCGCAACCUCCAGCUCUCCGGAAAAAGAUCGUUUCCGGAAAGUCAGGGGCCGAGGGCCCGCUGACCCGGAGAACUCCACUGUCUACUUCCCCGACAAAAGAAUGGACACAGAUCGCGAGGAAGAAGGAGACCAAGGGGAAGCAAGUUGUUCUUUCCAUUCCUCCGCCCUCAAAGGAGAACGGAAAGAAGAUCGCCACGACAGCAGCACCAUUCUACCCCGACGUCCUCUUCAUCGGGAGAGUGGAGUCGCCUACCAUCUCCGACGACGAGCCGACCGCACCCGGAGAAGAACCGCCUCAACGAGAAUCCCACCGACGGAGGAACCGGCGCAGGAACAUUCGACGACAUCACGCGACCGGAGAACGAGAUCCGGAGCAACCUGUCUCGCGAGACGAGGUCUCGGAGAUAAGUGAAACUCCGGAAGAACGCAUCUUCAGAGAGCGAAGGAACUCCCGACGACGUGAUCGCCGCCGGGCUCAGGAACAAGCCGAGCAAGAUGCAAGGCCAUGCCGGGAGAAUCCAUUCUUCGGGCGCAAUCUGAACCCCGACUUUGCCCGAGCCAUGAACACGCCGAGCGAAGUCGGAGGAGUACUAGCUCGGAUAGCUGAUGGACUCCCUCGGACUCCCGACGCCGAGGGCUACCGACGACUGUUCACCCAGGCAGCCAACCAUCUUCUACCGCUCGCUCACCCGCCGAACGAUCUACGACACGCCAUCAACAGUCGCCGAGACGCGCGAAGCUCCAUCAAUGCUUCGCGUGAACGGCGGCAUGAGAACGAGAUCCGCCGCCGGGAGGAGUACGACAGGGAUCACGGCAUCCCAGCUCGGAGCCAGGCCACCAGAACUGAGUCGGCAACGGCCUCAACUGGCGGUACUACCCGGGGACAGUCGAGGAACCACAACAACUACUCCCCUCCCCGGGAUAAGCAUCAUCCCCGACGACAGGAGGACACCUGCAGAGUGUCUGCUCUUACUUCGCGCCUCAGGGCCAUCCAAUGGCCUCCCAACUUUAAGGUAUCCAAUGUCGACAAAUAUGAACCUAAGCAGGAUCCAGGGGGUUGGCUAGCCGUCUACACCACAGCUGCUCGAGCUGCCGGGGCAUCCGAAGAUGUGAUGACCGCGUACUUACUCAUCGUCCUUGGGCAAGACGCGCUGCAAUGGCUACGACAUCUACCCCGACACUGCAUCGACGACUGGAGCGACUUCAGUCGUCGCUUCACCGCCAAUUUCCAGUCCCUCUCCGACAAACCGGCGCAACCAUGGGACCUCAAAUCCAUCAAGCGCCGGGGGGACGAAACUCUCCGGUCGUACCUCAAAAGGUUCCAGACCAUGAGAAAUCGUAUCCCCGAGGUCACGGAGGCGGCCGUGAUUGAGGACUUCUACCGAGGAUCCAAUGACUCGGCUUUCGUCCGGGCUAUAUUACAGAAGGUGCCGACUACUUCCGAGGAGCUGUUCCGGGAAGCCGACCUCUACAUCACCGCCGACGAGCGGGCCCAGGACCUCAUCGGAGGAGCAAAGCCCGCACCAGCACCACCACGACGCGACACGAACCAGCAACCCGACAAACGCUGGGAGAAGAGGCCUCGCGAAGAAGUGCACGCCGCCGGACCACCUGCCUCUCGCGCCCGAGGAGGACCUCGCGAAGGGGAACGCACGCUGGACGACAUCCUCGACGCCCAGUGCCCGUACCACAAGGACAUGCGCCACACUCUUCGUGACUGCCGGGACUUCAAGCACUCCGUUGGGCACGGUCGACCCUUCCAACAUCUACCUCCUCCUCCGCCGAGGGGAGGACCAGAUGAACCACGACAACCCCAUCAGCAGGAGGAGGGAGGAGGAGGAGCUUUCCCGUGCGUUGAUAGGGAGGUCAACGUCAUCUUCGGCGGACAUGGGUCGCAGGAGAACAAAAGACAACAAAAGCUCAACGACCGCCAGAUACUGGUGGCGACCACCGGUCCUCCCGCCCCAUACCGGUGGUCGGAGCACCCGAUCACAUUCACUCGGGAGGAUCAAUGGCUCAACUUCGACCAUCCAGGAAAAUACCCGCUCCUCGUCGAUCCGGUGAUCCGAGAGAGCCGGGUGAAGAAGGUGCUAGUGGACGGGGGGAGCAGCAUCAACGUCACCUUCCCCCGGACACUCCAAGGCUUGGGAGUUCACCUCAAAGAGCUCCACGAGUCGGACACUCCUUUCUUCGGCAUCGUGCCGACGGAAGGGGAAUACCCACUGGGCCACAUCUACAUGCUUGUCACCUUUGGAACUCCACAGAACUACAGAACCGAGUUCCUGAGGUUCGAAGUGGCGAACUUCGACUGCGGCUACAACGCCAUCAUCGGGAGGCCGGGAUUGGCCAAAUUCAUGGCCAUUCCACAUUAUACAUACCUGAUACUGAAGAUGCCCGGACCGCAAGGAAUCAUAACUGUGCGCGCCGACUUCCAAGGCACCGCAGAGUGUUUCCGAGUGGCCAUCCAAGCAGCCCUCACCACCAAGCCGUCGAAGGUUUCUCCAACACAGGCGAACUCUAAGCCUGAGGAGGACCUUGCAGUACCGGCAAACGAAGCUCAGGCCGCGACCUCUAUGCGGCCGACUGAAGAAACCAAGAGGAUCAACCUGGGAUUCGCUGAUGAACGCAAGACUGCCAUCAUCAGCUCCAGCCUGGACGACAAAUAGGAAAGCGCGCUCGUCCAGUUUCUGCUAGAUAACCGAGAUGUAUUCGCAUGGCAACCUGCGGAUAUGCCGGGAGUCCCAAGAGAACUGGCCGAGCACAAACUGAAGGUCUAUCCCCAGGCAAGGCCGAUUCGGCAAAAGCUACGUCGUUUCACGCCCGACAAGAGAGAGGUCAUUCGCGCCGAGUUAGCUCGCUUGGUCGCGGCUGGAUUUAUUAGAGAGGUGUUACACCCCGAGUGGUUAACCAACCCUGUUCUUGUACUCAAAAAGAAUAAAGUGGAUUGGCGCAUGUGACUUGGCCUUUCGCAUGCUGGGGACUGGAUAUGAUUGGACCUUUUAAGAAAGCUCAAGGAGGAUACACUCAUGUAUUGGUAGCGAUCGACAAAUUCACUAAAUGGAUAGAGUUCAAGCCCAUCGCUUCUUUGACCUCAGCUAAAGCCGUGGAAUUCAUACAAGAUAUAAUAUUCAGAUUCGGGAUACCAAACAGCAUCAUAACUGACCUAGGAUCCAACUUCAUAAGUUCAGAAUUCUUCGACUUCUGCGAGCAAAAAAGCAUUCAGAUCAAGUAUGCAUCUGUAGCACAUCGAAGAGCCAACGGGCAGGUUGAGCGAGCCAACGGAAUGAUACUGGAGGCACUCAGGAAAAAGGUCUUCGAUAAGAAUGAAAAAAUCGCAGGAAAAUGGAUAUGGGAAUUGCCUUAUGUCGUUUGGAGCCUAAGAACCCAACCUAGCCGAGCUCUGCAUGGAAACACUCCUUUCUUCAUGGUCUAUGGGUCGGAGGCAGUGCUACCCGCCGAUCUCAAGUUCGGGGCGCCAAGACUGAUCUUUGAAAACAUAGCAGAAGCAGAGGCCACCAGGCUGGAGGACGUUGAUAUACUUGAAGAAGAACGGCUGAAUGCAGUAAUUCAAUCGGCACGGUACCAGCAGACUCUAAGGCGCUAUCACGACAAGGCUGUGCGACAGCGAUCCUUUUCAGUAGGAGAUCUCAUCCUCCACCGAAUUCUAACGGGGGAGGGACGACACAAGUUAUCGCCCUUAUGGGAAGGACCCUUCAUAGUAGCAGAAGUCACUCGGCCCGGAUCAUAUCGCCUCACUCAGAUGGAUGGCACAGAAGUCGGGAACUCCUGGAACAUAGAACACCUCAAGAAGUUUUACCCCUAGCUGUAUUUCAAAAGCUAUCGGGACGACGAUGUACUCUGUAAAAUGGAAAUAUGUCAUCAAUAAAAAAGGGGUUUCAAAGAUAUUCAGCUUGUUCACGAUUGACUUGCAUUCUUACUUAACUCGGGGUGACCACUAUGCCCUGCUAACGGAGGAAUUGGCUUAAGUCGGCAACGACUUAAGGCGGUGCAACAUGCUCACGCUUACUUAAUUCGGGGUGACCACUAUGCCCGGCUAACGGAGCAAUCGGCUUAAGUCGGCAACGACUUAAGGCGGUGCGACAUGCUCACGCUUACUUAACUCGGGGUGACCACUAUGCCCUGCUAACGGAGCAAUCGGCUUAAGUCGGCAACGACUUAAGGCGGUGCAACAUGCUCACGCUUACUUAACUCGGGGUGACCACUAUGCCCUGCUAACGGAGCAAUCGGCUUAAGUCGGCAACGACUUAAGGCGGUGCGACAUGCUCACGCUUACUUAACUCGGGGUGACCACUAUGCCCUGCUAACGGAGCAAUCGGCUUAAGUCAGCAACGACUUAAGGCGGUGCAACAUGCUCACGCUUACUUAACUUGGGGUGACCACUAUGCCCUGCUAACGGAGCAAUCGGCUUAAGUCGGCAACGACUUAAGGCAGUGCGACAUGCUCACGCUUACUUAACUCGGGGUGACCACUAUACCCUGCCAACGGAGCAAUCGGCUAAAGUCAGUGGCGACUUAAGCCGGUGCAACAUGCUCACGCCUACGCAAUUCAGGGUGACCACUACGCCCUAUUAACAAAAGCAAUCGACUUAAGUCAGCAGCGACUUAAGGCGAUCUGACGUGAUUACAAUUACUCAUAUAAGGAUGACUUCUAUAUCCCGCAAACAAAUUUCAUAACCAUCACGCAUCAUUUUACUAAUGCAAAUUUACAGACUGAUGAAUUCUGAAACAAUACGAGAAUAACAAUGUCGUUUAAGUACUGAAAUGACGUCCUCUAACAAAUGUCUGACCAUGCUAACCGCGCGCUCAGAGCACGUAAAACGUUUCUCUACUUGGUGAUAUUUUUCUCAGGAGCGAUCGAUGAGGAAGGACGACUCGAGGAAUCAGGGGCAGCAUUCACAUCAGCCCUUAUAUCUUCGGGAACAACCACUCCGGGUCUCCUCAUCAAGAUUCGCCCCGCCCGAAUAGCCUUGUCCAUGGCUCUGUCACGCUGGGCUCUGAGAGUAACAGAAGUUUCUUCGGCAACCUUGGCAGCCAGUCGAGUAGUUUCUAACUCCUGGACAAUGGAUUUCUUGGAAGCUCGGAGUUCUUUGAUGGUAGCGUCCUUCGCUGAUAUCAGCUGCUUGAGCCGAGUCACCUCAUCCGAAGAUUCCUGCAGCUUACAACGUUGAUUGUCCAACUCUUCUAUGGUGAAGCAAUGACUCCUCUCCAAGAUAGUCAGCGAGUUGCUAGAAUCACAAUACAAUCUGUCAAGACUGUCGCGAGAAGCAGCAAGGAUACGUUUUUCUUCCUGCAAACAAAAGUCAACUCCCUCAAAAACCAAUCAAGUAAUAGGAACACAACAAGGCAAAGCAUAGUUUCGCAAAUCACCUUUUCAGAAUUGAGCUGGGCGUGAAGAGAAGAACUCAGUGCAUUGGCGUCAUCUAAAGCAGCGGAGACCUGACCCAGUUCAGUCAGGCUCUGAGAGUACUUUUCCUCAAAGUCAGUGCAUCGCUGGACCAAUUCAGCCUGAUCUCGGGAAUGUUUUUCCUCAAGAGUGGAAAUCUGCCGAGUCAUUCCUAGCAGGAGACAAUCAAACAAAAAGGGAUCAGAAUGUAAAGCAGUCCACAGUGAAGACAAAGAGAGCAAAAAAAAGCACUAAUCAGCGUUGGUGGCCUCCAAUUCAGAGACACGAUGUUGAAGUGACACUGGAUUCCAACAUGCAAGAGAUGAAGCUACUUCUGGGACAGAAGCACCCUGUAACCUCAGCUGGCUAGCCAUCCCAUCCACCAAAGCCUGAUGAGGAGAACAGAUGAGUGUAAUGACAGCAGUUCAUGCAAUGUAAAAAUCAAGCUAAAAUAUAUCACAGUACCUGGAGGUUGGAAAAGAACGAAGAGAUCCCCAAAUCAGGAGAGAUCAAUUGAUAACCAGGUGUAAGGCCACCACCCGAAGCAGCUUGCAACGAACCAGCAGGAAUCAGCUCGGUGCCUUCAACAGAGCCCAACACCCGGUUAGUGGGGACGCUGCCCUCUAAAGCGACUCCCUGGUCCAAGGCUUGGGCUACCACCAUACAACCAGAGUGUGGAGGCGAUCCCGCAUGAACGUCCAUGGAAGUACAGGAGGGAGACCCCGCUCGGACACCCUCGGGGGCUGGGUCAUAGUUUGCACUACCCACUUGAGUCGGAUCAUCCCCGGCAGCACCCUCGGGGGCUGGGCAGUGGCUUACACUUCCCACCCGAGCCAAGCCAUCCCCAGCAACAUCCUCGGGGGCUGGGCAUGUGUCAACACCAUCCUUGAGGUCCGAGUUCUCUGCAGUAGCCACCUCUAAGGUUGAUGGGCCCUCAGCUACUUCCAUAGGACUAGGACGAUCCAAGUCAGUCUCCCGACCCUCGAGAUCGCGCUCUAAGGUCGACGAGGCACGGGAUGACCUCAACCCAGCAUCAAGCACAUCAGCACAAACCUCCAUCACACCAUCAUCCACAGGCUCCGAUAACAAGUCCUCUGGAACCAUAUCCUCAAGAGUCUGAUCAAAGUUGGCCAGGGACAGUUCUUGCAGACCAAUGAGAGCAGACAAAGCAGGAGAGGGAACUCCACUACUUUCACCGCUAGCGAUGAACUGCCGACAGUUUUUCCGAGUCAAAGGAACUUCAUCUUCCUCCUCCUCGUUGUCCACAUUGGCAACACAAGCAGCACCCCCAUUGGGAUCAGCAACAGAUGGAGCACCCACAUUGGGAUCAACAGCGGAUUGGGUACACCCAUUGGGGUCAGCAUCAGUAAAUUCAGUCACAGGCAUUUCUUCAGCAGCAGGAACCGAAGUACCAGUGUCCCGAUCCAAACUGGAUACUCGCCGGAGGCGUCUUCUUUUCUUCUUCUGCUCAUCAGCAGAAGGAUCAGGCUGAUUGGCUCGGCAAGGGCGCCUCGGGCGAGUACUGGCAGGUUUCUGAGUAUCCAAAGUUGUAUCAGCCUCUGGGAGGGGCGCCACUACCAGUGCCCCAGCAGGAGCAGCAUCAGAAGAAUCCUCAGCCAGCAAAUCAAGCAUAGCGCUUAUCUCUGCAUCACUAGGAUUUAGGGGCACCUCAAAAUGGACCUGCCGUUCAUCAUUAGGAAUCUCCCCAAGCGAGGCAACCAAGGCACUAACUUCUUCAGCAGAGGGUCGCACUCUAAGGCCCAAACUGCCAUCAGUGACAGGUGCAUUCGACACAAAAAGGGUGAAGGCUUUGGGAGGAGGCAGGUUCCAGGCCGAGUAUGCCACUGGAGCACCAACAUUUGACACUUUGCCUCUAAGGAUCAUCUCAAGUCGGCUCACCAAGUCUGCAGAGGGAAUUCUUCUGUUGGUAACCCGAGUUGAGUCGGCUAGGCCUCGAUAUAGAUAAGCUGGGUAUGCCCUGUCCUUCAAUGGCUGAAUAUUCUUGAAGACAAAGUCAGCAACCACAGCUUCAGCAGUCAGACCCCUCUCUUUCAGCAGUCCAACUUCAGCUAGCAACGCACCUGCCUCAGCUACCUCCUGAUCUGUGGGAGACUCGGUCCAGCUUGGGGUGCGAACAUCCGGCUGUCUUCCCGACCGGGGGGAGAGAAUUUCCAUGAUUCUCAACUAUGAACCACUCCAGGCGCCAUCCCUUGAUACUGUGUUUGAGAGGGAUCUCGAGAUACUCAGUCUUCCUCUCGCGAUGCAACUCCAAGCUGGCACCCCCAACCAACUGAUGUUGUCCCCCAGCCAUCCCAGGGCGAUAGUGAUACAAGUAUUUCCACAACCCAAAAUGUGGCAGCACACCGAGAAAGGCUUCGCAUAAAUGAACGAAAAUAGAGAUUUGGAGGAUAGAAUUGGGGUUCAGAUGGGUCAAGUUAAGAUGAUAGAAAUCAAGGAGGCCGCGGAAAAAGGGAGAAAUAGGAAGGCCAAGGCCGUGGAGAAGGAAAGGAGCAUAAACAACGGACUCAUGGGUAUCCUCAGUUGGGACAGUAACCCCAUGGCAAAUCCACCAAGAACAGAGUUCCCGCGGAGGAAGAACCCCAAUGGACACGAGGUGGAGAAGUUCGGGCUCAGAGAUGACGGACAUGUGGUUACCUGCGAAAGGCAACUCGCUGUUGGGGUCGAUUGGAGGAAUCACCACGGCAGACGAACUCGAGGUUUUCCCCUUGGGCGCCAUCUCGAUUCUACCGGCGAGCAGAGUGGGAGGCGAAUUGCAGAGAGGAUUCGGAAGCGAGAAAGCAAGAACUAGGGCACGGAAAGCAGAGGCGGCUAAAAGCGCAGCACUUAUGGGAUAUUCCCGAGCCAGAUACCGUUUCAAAAAAGUGGCCAGUCAGCACCCGACGGUUAUUUCCAAAACACCGGCGUGCCACGUGGUCACCCGGCAGUUAUUUCCAGAACACCGGUGCGCCACCUCAUCACUCGGCUAUCAUCCUCAAAGUGGCCCACGCGGCCUACUAUCACUCGGCGUUGCCUCUAAAACGCUGAUAUCGUGUUCAGUCGCUCGGCAUUACCUCUAAAAUGCUAACGUCGCCCUCAAGUCGCUCGGCGUUACCUCUAAAACGCUGACGUCGCCCUCCAGUCACUCAACGUUACCUCUAAAACACGGAUAUCGUGUUCAGUCGCUCGACAUUACCUCUAAAAUGCUGACAUCGCCCUCAAGUCGCUCGGCAGUUGACUCUAAAACUCCGACAUCGUGUCAAGUCGCUCGGCAUUACCUCUAAAAUGCCGACGUCACCCUCAAGUCGCUCGGUAGUUGACUCUAAAACUCCGACAUCGUGUCAAGUCGCUCGGCAUUACCUCUAAAAUGCCGACGUCGCCCUCAAGUCGCUCGGCAGUUGACUCUAAAACUCCGACAUCGUGUUCAGUCGCUCGGCAUUACCUCUAAAAUGCCGAUGUCGCCAUCAAAUCGCUCGGCAUUACCUCUAAAAUGCUGACGUCGACCUCAAGUCGCUUGGCAGUCAACUCUAAAACUCCGACAUCGUGUUAAGUCGCUCGGCAGCUACCUCUAAAAGCGUCAAAACGAUGCCAGAGUUAUUUACGUGCAAACUCCAAGGAAAUCAGCUUCACAAAUGAGCAGGAUAAUCACCACAGAGAAACCAACAUCAUUACUUCAUUAAGGGGAAGAUAUCAUGCUUACAAAUCAACUCUUUGCGAGUUGAUGCUUCCCUAUUACUACUACUACAUUACAUUACAUUACUGCUACUACUACUACACUACUAAAUACUACUACAUUAUUCUAACAAUACUAAUAUCUAAAAGACCAGUGGCAUCUAGCCACUGGCCCUGUUGCUGCCGCCGCCGCUGCCGCCCCUGGUGCUGCCUCUGCUGCUGCCGCCACCGCCGCUGCCGCCCUUGCUGCCACCGCCGUCACCGUCCUUGCUGCUGCUGCCGCCGCCCCUGCCGCUGCCGUCACCGUCACCGCCACCACCGCCUUCGUCGUCGUCGUCGUCGUCUUCGUCCUCGCCGCCGCCGUCCGAGUCCUCCUCAUCCGAGGAGUACUCCGACUCAUCCGAGCCCUCGAGCCCGGAGCGCUCGACGGCCCGGAUGUACGUCCAGACCUCCGCCGCGAGCCCCUGGGAGUCGUCUGAGUCGUCAGACGACUCACGCAGGGGGAUUGGAGCCGGAGACCCCUCAGACUCAGAGGAUAACUCCUCCUCUGAGUACUCCGAGUCACCAAAAUCCUCCGAUGGAGGAGUUGGCUCACGCUUGCGCUUGUUGUUCUUGCCCAUGGUGGAAGCGAAAGGGAGAGAAGAAAGGCAAGCAGCAGAGAACAGCGAGAGAUGUGAAAAAGUCGGAGAGACAACGGCGUUAUUUAUAGAAGGAGAAGGCAACCGCUCACCUCCAACCGCGGUCACUGAACAGUCGCAAAGCAUUCAAUAAGCACUCCAACCCGUCUGAAGACACGUCAGGCGGCUGACGUCGUUUCACGCAACACAACACCCAUUGAGACACCAGUCAACAGCGCAGAAGAUAUGAUUACACCCGCCAUCACAUCACAUUACUACUCAGAAGCAGCCGGCUAAAACACUCAGCGUACCAAGCCGUUCCUUGCCCACACCCAUUGGGGGGGACGCCUAGGAAUUAUCAGUAUAUUUUUCAAAACGGUCACAUCUGUGCAGGGCGUGCAGCGAAUACCUCAAGACAAAAAUGAGAUAUCAGUAAGGAUCAGAGGAAAGCCAAAUAUAGCCAGUUAAGUACAAAAUAUGACCGACAGAAGCGACGUGAAGACUAGACAGAGAACGUCCAUCAAAUGUCCAAUCAGCUGCAGAGCAAAUAAAUUACACCACCUAGCAAGAUAUGGAUGGAUCGCGAACUCGGAUGCAAAAGACAAAAUACAUGCUGACCUCUGAAGCACAAUAUUGAUGACAUAAUGCUGACCUCCAAAGUAUAAUGCGGAUGGCAUCAUGCCGACCUGUACAAACAGAAAGGAUAAUCUUCAGCAAAAAGACACAAAAGGAAGACCUUCGAAUGGAUUGUCCUCAAAAAUCCACUCGAAGGUCGGGGGCUACACCCAAUGAAGCUCAGGGUCCUACAAAACGAAAUGCCGACCUCUAAGGCACGAGGAUGAAACGAAGCUUCGGUUCACGAGUGAUCAAAGCAGGAGGAGACAGUAAGAAGUCGUUUUCUUCAAAUCGCCUGCAAGUUGGACCUGGGAUCUUCGGGCUGAUUACCUCCAAAUUAACCCAAAGAUCGGGGGCUUGUGGGGUACAGAUAUCCCCCGAGUCCACUAAAAGAGAAAAAGACCUCACGAAAGGCCCAAGGGCCCAAUAAAUCGUAAGGUCAUUCUUUCAUGGGCCUGAGGAGGGACAACCAGCAAAGCAGAUCAACAUAAGGCUCGAUUGGUGCAAACCCAGACGGCCCACAACGUCGGGCGAGCGACUGCAACAGAAGUCCGACUUUCCCGCGCUGGAGCCCCAUGCAACGGAGCCAUGCGAGGAUAAGUCGGCAGAACCACGAGGAGAUAAACUCAAACAGUUCACUAUCUUUUAGCUACACUUUGUUAUCAUAUCCAUAUGUAUUGCCCCACGGUCGAGUAUAUAAGGCCUAGGUGGCACCCCUUUAGAAUGAUCGACCCUACUACUUAGCCUUCCACUCCAACUCUCUGCAUUCUCAAUUCAGAGAGCUCUUUUGUAACCUCAUUCACCAAGCAUACUCACCAGGACGUAGGGUGUUACGCGUCUCUAAGCGGCCCGAACCUGUAAACAUUGUCCACUUUCCCUCGUGCAUCUGGCACGAACCAUUUUGCUACAGUCGUCGACACCGUCCUACUCCUAAAAACACCUUGAGGGGCAACCCCGGGUGUGCGGUCGGACCCAAUACACCGACAAUGGUCUCCACCAGAAAUCCAAGAAUGUGAUCUAUGGCAAGGAAACAUAUGUGGGGUGAGGUGUACGAGCCUCUGGUCGAUGAUCAAUGGCCACACAACCCCCAUUUUUGUCGAAAAUAGCCAUGAACCACCAUUUUCAAUGACACUGAAGGCUAGCACCGACGGAUUUUUGACCAAGAAAUGGUCUCCACCAGAAAUCCAAGAAUGUGAUCUAUGGCAAGGAAACAUAUGUGGGUUGAGGUGUAUGAGCCUCUGGUUGAAUAUCAAUGGCCACACAACCCCCAUUUUUGUCAAAAAUAGCCAUGAACGACCAUUUUCAAUAGUACCGAAGGCUAACACAUUCGGUUUUUGACCAAGAAAUGGUCUCCACCAGAAAUCAAAGAAUGUGAUCUACGGCAAGGAAACAUAUGUGGGGUGAGGUUUACGAUCCUCUGGUCGAUGAUCAAUGGCCACACAACCCCAUUUUUGUCGAAAAUAGCCAUGAAUGACCAUUUUCAAUAAUACCAAAGGCUGACACGUACGGAUUUUUGACCAAGAAAUGGUCUCCACCAGAAAUCCAAGAAUGUGAUCUAUGGCAAGGAAACAUAUGUGAGGUGAGGUGUAUGAGCCCCUGGUCGAUGAUAAAUGGCCACACAACCCCCAUUUUAGUCGAAAAUAGCCAUGAACGACCAUUUUCAAUAAUACCGAAGGCUAACACCAACGGAUUUUUGACCAAGAAAUGGUCUCCACCAAAAAUCCAAGAAUGUGAUCUAUGGCAAGAAAACAUAUGUGGGGUGAAGUGUACGAGCCUCUGCUCGAUGAUCAAUGGCCACAAAACCCCCAUUUUUGUCGAAAAUAGCCAUGAACGACUAUUUUCAAUGACACUGAAGGCUAACACCUACGAAUUUUUGACCAAGAAAUGGUCUCCACCAUAAAUCCAAGAAUGUGAUCUAUGGGAAGGAAACAUAUGUGUAGUGGGGUGUAUGAGCCUUUGGUCGAAGAUCAAUGGCCACACA